This 515-nucleotide ribosomal RNA is filed under the name uncultured bacterium. Its description in RNAcentral is "bacterial SSU rRNA". It matches the Rfam family "Bacterial small subunit ribosomal RNA", at positions 1 to 518 of the family's 1533-position model. The record is from RNAcentral.
CUAGAGGGUUCGAUUCUGGCUCAGGAUGAACGCUGGCGGCGUGCCUAACACAUGCAAGUCGAACGGAAACUAGACGCUUCGGAGACUUCGGUCAAUGUUGUUAGUUUAGUGGCGGACGGGUGAGUAACGCGUGGAUAACCUGCCAUAUACAGGGGGAUAACAGUUAGAAAUGACUGCUAAUACCGCAUAAGCGCACAGUCUCGCAUGGGACAGUGUGAAAAACUCCGGUAGUAUAUGAUGGAUCCGCGUCUGAUUAGCCAGUUGGCGGGGUAACGGCCCACCAAAGCGACGAUCAGUAGCCGGCCUGAGAGGGUGAACGGCCACAUUGGGACUGAGACACGGCCCAAACUCCUACGGGAGGCAGCAGUGGGGGAUAUUGCACAAUGGGGGAAACCCUGAUGCAGCGAACCGCCGCGUGAGUGAAGAAGUAUUUCGGUAUGUAAAGCUCUAUCAGCAGGGAAGAUAAUGACGGUACCUGACUAAGAAGCACCGGCUAAAUACGUGCCAGCAGCAGC